CUUACACAUGCAAGUCGAACGGCAGCACGGACUUCGGUCUGGUGGCGAGUGGCGAACGGGUGAGUAAUAUAUCGGAACAUACCCAGUAGUGGGGGAUAACUAUCCGAAAGGAUAGCUAAUACCGCAUACGAUCUGUGGAUGAAAGCAGGGGAUCUUCGGACCUUGUGCUAUUGGAAUGGCCGAUAUCUGAUUAGCUAGUUGGUAGGGUAAAAGCCUACCAAGGCGACGAUCAGUAGCUGGUCUGAGAGGACGACCAGCCACACUGGAACUGAGACACGGUCCAGACUCCUACGGGAGGCAGCAGUGGGGAAUUUUGGACAAUGGGGGCAACCCUGAUCCAGCAAUGCCGCGUGAGUGAAGAAGGCCCUCGGGUUGUAAAGCUCUUUUGUCAGGGAAGAAACGGAGUUCUCUAAUAUAGGAUUCUAAUGACGGUACCUGAAGAAUAAGCACCGGCUAACUACGUGCCAGCAGCCGCGGUAAUACGUAGGGUGCAAGCGUUAAUCGGAAUUACUGGGCGUAAAGCGCGCGCAGGCGGUUUUGUAAGUCUGAUGUGAAAUCCCCGGGCUCAACCUGGGAACUGCAUUGGAGACUGCAAGGCUAGAGUAUGUCAGAGGGGGGUAGAAUUCCACGUGUAGCAGUGAAAUGCGUAGAGAUGUGGAGGAAUACCGAUGGCGAAGGCA
RNAcentral lists this ribosomal RNA (680 nucleotides) under uncultured beta proteobacterium. Its description in RNAcentral is "bacterial SSU rRNA". It matches the Rfam family "Bacterial small subunit ribosomal RNA", at positions 48 to 723 of the family's 1533-position model. The record is from RNAcentral. Lineage: Bacteria; Pseudomonadati; Pseudomonadota; Betaproteobacteria.